Molecule: ribosomal RNA, 991 nt
Filed under: human gut metagenome
Description: bacterial LSU rRNA
Rfam family: Bacterial large subunit ribosomal RNA
Source: RNAcentral
CCGUAACUAUAACGGUCCUAAGGUAGCGAAAUUCCUUGUCGGGUAAGUUCCGACCUGCACGAAUGGCGUAACGAUCUCCACACUGUCUCGGCCAGAGACUCGGUGAAAUUGCAGUCGCGGUGAAAAUUCCGUGUACCCGCAGAAAGACGGAAAGACCCUGUGCACCUUUACUAUAGCUUGACAUUGGAUUUUGGGCCUGCAUGUGUAGGAUAGGUGGGAGGCUGUGAACCCUGUACGCCAGUAUGGGGGGAGCCAUCCUUGAAAUACCACCCUUGCAUGUUUAAGAUCCUAACUUCUUCCGGUUAUCCCGGAGAAAGACAGUGUCUGGCGGGUAGUUUGACUGGGGCGGUCGCCUCCUAAAGUGUAACGGAGGCAUGCAAAGGUUCCCUCAGCCUGAUCGGAAACCAGGCGCUGAGUGCAAACGCAUAAGGGAGCUUGACUGUAAGAGAGACAUCUCGAACAGGAACGAAAGUUGGCGUUAGUGAUCCGGUGGUCCCGAAUGGAAGGGCCAUCGCUCAUUGGAUAAAAGGUACGCCGGGGAUAACAGGCUGAUCGCAUCCAAGAGUUCACAUCGACGAUGCGGUUUGGCACCUCGAUGUCGGCUCAUCACAUCCUGGGGCUGAAGCAGGUCCCAAGGGUACGGCUGUUCGCCGUUUAAAGUGGUACGCGAGCUGGGUUUAAAACGUCGUGAGACAGUUUGGUCCCUAUCUUCUGUGGGCGAAGGAGAAUUGAGAGGGCCUGUCCCUAGUACGAGAGGACCGGGAUGGACGCACCCCUGGUGAUCCUGUUGUCGCGCCAGCGGCAUAGCAGGGUAGCUAUGUGCGGAAGGGAUAACCGCUGAAAGCAUCUAAGCGGGAAGCCUGCCUCAAGAUAAGUUCUCCCCUCGAAAGAGCUGAAGGGCCCGGGUAGACUACCCGGUCGAUAGGCUGGAGGUGUAAGCGCGGCGACGUGCUCAGCUGACCAGUACUAAUAGCCCGAGUGGCUUAUUUUU